CAAUGGCGUAUAUUUAAGUUGUUGCAGUUAAAAAGCUCGUAGUUGGAUUUCGGGUGGGACGCAGCGGUCUCGCAUUGCGUUUGUACUGCUGCAGCCCUCCUUCUUGCCGGGGGCGGCCUCUCGGACUUCACUGUCUGGGGGUCAGAAUCGGCGAUGUUACUUUGAGUAAAUUAGAGUGUUCAAAGCAAGCUUACGCUCUGAAUAUAAUAGCAUGGGAUAACACGACAGGACUCUGGCCUAUCGUGUUGGUCUAUAGGACCAGAGUAAUGAUUAAGAGGGACAGUCGGGGGCAUUCGUAUUCCGUUGUCAGAGGUGAAAUUCUUGGAUUUACGGAAGACGAACAUCUGCGAAAGCAUUUGCCAAGGAUGUUUUCAUUGA
This 378-nucleotide ribosomal RNA is filed under the name uncultured eukaryote. RNAcentral describes it as "partial 18S ribosomal RNA". It matches the Rfam family "Eukaryotic small subunit ribosomal RNA", at positions 592 to 976 of the family's 1831-position model. The record is from RNAcentral.